ACGCACGCUGGCGGCGUGCUUAACACAUGCAAGUCGAACGGAAAGGCCCUGCUUUUGUGGGGUGCUCGAGUGGCGAACGGGUGAGUAACCCGUGAGUAACCUGCCCUUGACUUUGGGAUAACUUCAGGAAACUGGGGCUAAUACCGGAUAGGAGCUCCUGCUGCAUGGUGGGGGUUGGAAAGUUUCGGCGGUUGGGGAUGGACUCGCGGCUUAUCAGCUUGUUGGUGGGGUAGUGGCUUACCAAGGCUUUGACGGGUAGCCGGCCUGAGAGGGUGACCGGCCACAUUGGGACUGAGAUACGGCCCAGACUCCUACGGGAGGCAGCAGUGGGGAAUAUUGCACAAUGGGCGGAAGCCUGAUGCAGCAACGCCGCGUGCGGGAUGACGGCCUUCGGGUUGUAAACCGCUUUCGCCUGUGACGAAGCGUGAGUGACGGUAAUGGGUAAAGAAGCACCGGCUAACUACGUG
This 467-nucleotide ribosomal RNA is filed under the name uncultured bacterium. RNAcentral describes it as "partial 16S ribosomal RNA". It matches the Rfam family "Bacterial small subunit ribosomal RNA", at positions 29 to 507 of the family's 1533-position model. The record is from RNAcentral.